GCCUCAUUGGUGCAGUUAGGCAGCGCGUCAGUCUCUUAAUCUGAAGGUCAUGAGUUCGAGCCUCACACGGGGCA
Non-coding RNA from Carassius carassius (crucian carp), 74 nucleotides. The record is from the annotation of a RefSeq genome assembly. NCBI's taxonomy places the organism in Eukaryota, Metazoa, Chordata, Actinopteri, Cypriniformes, Cyprinidae.